AUUGAACGCUGGCGGCAUGCUUUACACAUGCAAGUCGAACGGCAGCGCGGGCUUCGGCCUGGCGGCGAGUGGCGAACGGGUGAGUAAUACAUCGGAACGUGCCCAGUAGUGGGGGAUAGCUCGGCGAAAGCCGGAUUAAUACCGCAUACGACCUGAGGGUGAAAGCGGGGGAUCUUCGGACCUCGCGCUAUUGGAGCGGCCGAUGGCAGAUUAGCUAGUUGGUGGGGUAAAGGCCUACCAAGGCGACGAUCUGUAGCUGGUCUGAGAGGACGACCAGCCACACUGAGACUGAGACACGGCCCAGACUCCUACGGGAGGCAGCAGUGGGGAAUUUUGGACAAUGGGCGAAAGCCUGCUCCAGCAAUGCCGCGUGUGUGAUGAAGGCCUUCGGGUGGUAAAGCACUUUUGGCGGGAACGAAAAGGACUGUGCCAAUACCACGGUUCGAUGACGGUACCCGCAGAAUAAGCACCGGCUAACUACGU
Molecule: ribosomal RNA, 483 nt
Filed under: uncultured bacterium
Lineage: Bacteria
Description: partial 16S ribosomal RNA
Rfam family: Bacterial small subunit ribosomal RNA
Source: RNAcentral